Molecule: long non-coding RNA, 810 nt
Organism: Ipomoea triloba (trilobed morning glory)
Lineage: Eukaryota; Viridiplantae; Streptophyta; Magnoliopsida; Solanales; Convolvulaceae
Exons: 2
Source: RefSeq, a predicted model, not a curated record
AGACUUAGAUAACAAUGGAGAACAACAACUAGGCUUGGUAGCAGUACUACAAUUGUGUACUAGAUUAAAAGGAAAAUUUAAAUAUGUAACCCCAAGAAACUUUGUAUAAAAACCUCAGGGCUAUUGUGGCUGGGACAUCACAGAAAAGCAAGAAUGAAUUCAGCAUUUUAUAUAGAGAGAGGGCAAAAGUGAAGAAGAUGGCAGUUUGUUGGUGACUUUGUACCCAAAACUGUGGGUGAUGGUUUCAUCUCAGAGUUGCAUCCAUUUCCAACACUAUUUUGGGACCAAAGUCACCAACACACUGUCAUCAUUCUCAGCUUCAGAAGAUCUCAAGAUAAUGUACAAGAAGACAUGACCAGCUAGCCAUUUCACAAACAACUCAUGGAACAUUGAGAUUUAUGCUUAGUUUAAUUUGCUUCAUUCUUAAUCAUAUUUAAAUUUUAUAUAUGCUUCUACUUAAGGUACAUGUUUUGUAUUGUAAUCCAGGAUUGAGGUUUCUUCUGCUUUGCUCAAGUGCUUGAUUAGUUCAGCUGGAGCCUAUUGAAGACCACAACCACAAUAUCAAGAAAAUUUCAAUUGUAAUACAAAGAUAUUUAUGUUUGUUUGCCUUACUUUUUGGAACUCAAACAAUAUUAUAUUGGACUUGUUGGGCCAUGGUCCUCCCAAGAAUAUAGUUUAGAUGUACUGGUUUAUAGGUUUGGGUUUGUGGACUACCCAUUAUCUACCUGGGUCCAAUUUACGUGCCUCUAAAUUAUCAUACUUCGUAUCCUUCUAAUUAGACUUGAACAGAGCUUCAGGCUAUUCCACUCA